This 332-nucleotide ribosomal RNA is filed under the name uncultured Nocardioides sp. RNAcentral describes it as "bacterial SSU rRNA". It matches the Rfam family "Bacterial small subunit ribosomal RNA", at positions 100 to 433 of the family's 1533-position model. Lineage: Bacteria; Bacillati; Actinomycetota; Actinomycetes; Propionibacteriales; Nocardioidaceae. The record is from RNAcentral.
GGACGGGUGACUCUCCCGAGAACAACCUGCCCUCAGUUCUGGGAUACGCCAAUCCGCCGUGGGUAAUACCGGAUACGACCAUCGUCCGCAUGGGCUGGUGGUGGAAACUUUUUGGGGGGGGGAUGUGCUCGCGGCUUAUGAGCUUGUUGGUGGGGUAAGGGCCUACCAAGGCUUUGACGGGUAGCCGGCCUGAGAGGGUGACCGGCCCCACUGGGACUGAGACACGGCCCAAACUCCUACGGGAGGCAGCAGUGGGGAAUUUUGGGCAAUGGGCGCAAGCCUGACCCAGCAACGCCGCGUGAGGGACGAAAUCCCUUCGGGAUGUAAACCUC